Centrocercus urophasianus (Greater sage-grouse) is the source of this 264-nucleotide long non-coding RNA. RefSeq lists it as uncharacterized. The transcript has 3 exons. The record is from RefSeq and is a predicted model, not a curated record. Lineage: Eukaryota; Metazoa; Chordata; Aves; Galliformes; Phasianidae.
AGCAGGCCAAGCCCGCCCAGCCAGGACUCGCUUCUCCAUCCCUGGCCGAAGGGACGCCCCGAAAUGUGCUCCUCACUCCUGAGGAAAGGGUGACUUUUUUCUCGAUGACGUCUGAAAGUUUUCUUUUUAAAGAAGAGCCUACAGAAGAGCAAGGUUUUAACAGGUGGCUCACUUCACCUCCACUCCAUUUAAAAGAUGCCUGAAUUCAGGACAGAUGAAUGCACUCCCAGCAUAGGCUGCAUCAAUAUGCAUCCAGAUGUUUUC